This 459-nucleotide ribosomal RNA is filed under the name uncultured bacterium. RNAcentral describes it as "partial 16S ribosomal RNA". It matches the Rfam family "Bacterial small subunit ribosomal RNA", at positions 338 to 795 of the family's 1533-position model. The record is from RNAcentral.
CCUACGGGAGGCAGCAGUGAGGAAUAUUGGUCAAUGGGAGAGAUCCUGAACCAGCCAAGCCGCGUGAGGGAAGACGGCCCUAUGGGUUGUAAACCUCUUUUGUCGGAGAACAAAACCCGGGACGUGUCCCGGACUGCGUGUAUCCGAAGAAAAAGCAUCGGCUAACUCCGUGCCAGCAGCCGCGGUAAUACGGAGGAUGCGAGCGUUAUCCGGAUUUAUUGGGUUUAAAGGGUGCGUAGGCGGUCCGUUAAGGCAGCGGUAAAAUUGCGGGGGUCAACCCCGUCGAGCCGUUGAAACUGGCAGACGUGAGGUGGCGAGAAGUACGCGGAAUGCGCGGUGUAGCGGUGAAAUGCAUAGAUAGCGCGCAGAACUCCGAUUGCGAAGGCAGCGUACCGGCGCCAGACUGACGCUGAGGCACGAAAGCGUGGGGAUCGAACAGGAUUAGAUACCCGGGUAGUC